Molecule: long non-coding RNA, 1612 nt
Organism: Oncorhynchus keta (chum salmon)
Lineage: Eukaryota; Metazoa; Chordata; Actinopteri; Salmoniformes; Salmonidae
Exons: 4
Source: RefSeq, a predicted model, not a curated record
UAGGUAGGGCAGAGUGUGAUGGUGGAGGUAGGUAGGUAGGUAGGGCAGAGUGUGAUGGUGGAGGUAGGUAGGUAGGGCAGAGUGUGAUGGUGGAGGUAGGUAGGUAGGUAGGUAGGGCAGAGUGUGAUGGUGGAGGUAGGUAGGUAGGGCAGAGUGUGAUGGUGGAGGUAGGUAGGUAGGGCAGAGUGUGAUGGUGGAGGUAGGUAGGUAGGGCAGAGUGUGAUGGUGGAGGUAGGUAGGUAGGGCAGAGUGUGAUGGUGGAGGUAGGUAGGUAGGGCAGAGUGUGAUGGUGGAGGUAGGUAGGUAGGGCAGAGUGUGAUGGUGGAGGUAGGUAGGUAGGGCAGAGUGUGAUGGUGGAGGUAGGUAGGUAGGGCAGAGUGUGAUGGUGGAGGUAGGUAGGUAGGGCAGAGUGUGAUGGUGGAGGUAGGUAGGUAGGGCAGAGUGUGAUGGUGGAGGUAGGUAGGUAGGUAGGUAGGGCAGAGUGUGAUGGUGGAGGUAGGUAGGUAGGUAGGUAGGUAGGGCAGAGUGUGAUGGUGGAGGUAGGUAGGUAGGUAGGUAGGUAGGGCAGAGUGUGAUGGUGGAGGUAGGUAGGUAGGUAGGUAGGUAGGGCAGAGUGUGAUGGUGGAGGUAGGUAGGUGGGGCAGAGUGUGAUGGUGGAGGUAGGUAGGUAGGUAGGUAGGGCAGAGUGUGAUGGUGGAGGUAGGUAGGUAGGUAGGUAGGGCAGAGUGUGAUGGUGGAGGUAGGUAGGUAGGUAGGUAGGGCAGAGUGUGAUGGUGGAGGUAGGUAGGUAGGGCAGAGUGUGAUGGUGGAGGUAGGUAGGUAGGUAGGUAGGGCAGAGUGUGAUGGUGGAGGUAGGUAGGUAGGUAGGUAGGGCAGAGUGUGAUGGUGGAGGUAGGUAGGUAGGUAGGUAGGUAGGGCAGAGUGUGAUGGUGGAGGUAGGUAGGUAGGUAGGUAGGUAGGGCAGAGUGUGAUGGUGGAGGUAGGUAGGUAGGUAGGUAGGUAGGGCAGAGUGUGAUGGUGGAGGUAGGUAGGUAGGGUAGAGUGUGAUGGUGGAGGUAGGUAGGUAGGUAGGUAGGGCAGAGUGUGAUGGUGGAGGUAGGUAGGUAGGUAGGUAGGGCAGAGUGUGAUGGUGGAGGUAGGUAGGUAGGUAGGUAGGGCAGAGUGUGAUGGUGGAGGUAGGUAGGUAGGGUAGAGUGGAGUUAUUGUGAUUGAAGACAGCGAGCCACAGCCAGCCUAUUAAAUCAGAAUGCAGGGUGGUCUGAGGCCAGUCCUGUUUACACCAUCUACUGGUAGGGCAGAGUGUGAUGGUGGAGGUAGGUAGGUAGGUAGGGCAGAGUGUGAUGGUGGAGGUAGGUAGGUAGGUAGGGCAGAGUGUGAUGGUGGAGGUAGGUAGGUAGGUAGGUAGGGCAGAGUGUGAUGGUGGAGGUAGGUAGGUAGGUAGGUAGGGCAGAGUGUGAUGGUGGAGGUAGGUAGGUAGGGUAGAGUGGAGUUAUUGUGAUUGAAGACAGCGAGCCACAGCCAGCCUAUUAAAUCAGAAUGCAGGGUGGUCUGAGGCCAGUCCUGUUUACACCAUCUACUGGUAGGGCAGAGUGUGAUGGUGGAGGUAGGUAGG